CCCUUAGAUGUUCUGGGCUGCACGCGCGCUACACUGAUGCACUCAACGAGUUUACGACCUUGCCCGAUAGGGUUGGGUAAUCUUUUUAAAAUGCAUCGUGAUGGGGAUAGAUUAUUGCAAUUAUUAAUCUUCAACGAGGAAUUCCUAGUAAGCGCGAGUCAUCAGCUCGUGCUGAUUACGUCCCUGCCCUUUGUACACACCGCCCGUCGCUCCUACCGAUUGAGUGGUCCGGUGAGGCUUUGGGAUCUGAGCGGAAAGAGCGUUUCGCUGUUUCUGCUCGGAAAACUCAGUCGAACCUUAUCAUUUAGAGGAAGGAGAAGUCGUAACA
RNAcentral lists this ribosomal RNA (328 nucleotides) under uncultured eukaryote. RNAcentral describes it as "partial 18S ribosomal RNA". It matches the Rfam family "Eukaryotic small subunit ribosomal RNA", at positions 1470 to 1796 of the family's 1831-position model. The record is from RNAcentral.